GUGGCGGACGGGUGAGGAACGCGUGAGAACCUGCCUCAAGGUCGGGGACAACAGUUGGAAACGACUGCUAAUACCGGAUGAGCCUUCGGGUAAAAGAUUUAUCGCCUAGAGAGGGGCUCGCGUCUGAUUAGCUAGAUGGUGAGGUAAAGGCUUACCAUGGCAACGAUCAGUAGCUGGUCUGAGAGGAUGAGCAGCCACACUGGGACUGAGACACGGCCCAGACUCCUACGGGAGGCAGCAGUGGGGAAUUUUCCGCAAUGGGCGAAAGCCUGACGGAGCAAUGCCGCGUGAGGGAGGAAGGCUCCUGGGUUGUAAACCUCAAAACUUAGGGAAGAAAAAAAUGACGGUACCUAAUGUAAGCAUCGGCUAACCCCGUGCCAGCAGCCGCGGUAAUACGGAGGAUGCAAGCGUUAUCCGGAAUCAUUGGGCGUAAAGAGUCCGUAGGUGGCACUUCAAGUCUGCUUUCAAAGACCGAAGCUCAACUUCGGAAAGGGAGUGGAAACUGAAGAGCUAGAGUAUAGUAGGGGUAGAGGGAAUUCCUAGUGUAGCGGUGAAAUGCGUAGAGAUUAGGAAGAACACCAGUGGCGAAGGCGCUCUACUGGGCAUAUACUGACACUGAGGGACGAAAGCUAGGGGAGCGAAAGGGAUUAGAUACCCCUGUAGUCCUA
This 668-nucleotide ribosomal RNA is filed under the name uncultured Chroococcales cyanobacterium. RNAcentral's name for it is "bacterial SSU rRNA". It matches the Rfam family "Bacterial small subunit ribosomal RNA", at positions 95 to 798 of the family's 1533-position model. The record is from RNAcentral. Lineage: Bacteria; Bacillati; Cyanobacteriota; Cyanophyceae; Chroococcales.